RNAcentral lists this ribosomal RNA (377 nucleotides) under uncultured bacterium. RNAcentral's name for it is "bacterial SSU rRNA". It matches the Rfam family "Bacterial small subunit ribosomal RNA", at positions 523 to 898 of the family's 1533-position model. The record is from RNAcentral.
AUACGAAAGGUGCGAGCGUUAAUCGGAAUUACUGGGCGUAAAGCGCGCGUAGGCGGCUAUUUAAGUCGGAUGUGAAAUCCCCGGGCUCAACCUGGGAAUUGCAUCCGAUACUGGGUAGCUAGAGUGCGGUAGAGGGAGGUGGAAUUCCAGGUGUAGCGGUGAAAUGCGUAGAGAUCUGGAGGAACACCAGUGGCGAAGGCGGCCUCCUGGACUGACACUGACGCUGAGGUGCGAAAGCGUGGGGAUCAAACAGGAUUAGAUACCCUGGUAGUCCACGCCGUAAACGAUGUCAACUAGCCGUUGGUGCCCUUGGUGGUGCUGGUGGCGCAGCUAACGCGAUAAGUUGACCGCCUGAGGAGUACGGCCGCAAGGUUAAA